ACUGAGACAUGCCAUGUCCCACCUGCUAAACAGAUUUCCCUACAUUGACCAGAUUUGGAGUGCCCUUUCCAGACAGGAGGGUAGAGUUAUUGUCCUCUGCAGGGCUCCACCGAGCAGCCGACUGACACCGGUGCACAGAUGCAUGGCCAAAUUUCGGAUGGAGCUCAGUGAGUCUCACUGAAGAACUGAGGGAAGGACUGAGAGAGGCAGAGGAGCACAAUGGUCUUCAUGUGGGUUCACUAAACCCAUCGCCUGUC
Non-coding RNA from Rattus norvegicus (Norway rat), 257 nucleotides. Lineage: Eukaryota; Metazoa; Chordata; Mammalia; Rodentia; Muridae. The record is from RefSeq and is a predicted model, not a curated record.